This is a long non-coding RNA of Brassica napus (rape), 1681 nucleotides long. RefSeq lists it as uncharacterized. The transcript is spliced from 4 exons. NCBI's taxonomy places the organism in Eukaryota, Viridiplantae, Streptophyta, Magnoliopsida, Brassicales, Brassicaceae. The record is from RefSeq and is a predicted model, not a curated record.
AUUGUCCAUUUAAAAAAAAAUUACAUAUAUGCACUUUAUAAAUUAUUUUAUAAUGUGUUUUUUAUAUGCGUUGUUGGUGAAACUAAAAUAAUGCUAUUACAUCAAAAUUAAUAAGUCUUCUAUGAUUAAUUUUAUAAUUAAUUACACAAAUUUUAAUUUUAUGAAUUUUUAAAAUUAGUGGAUAUUUAUUACAUUCUAAUUUUAAAUAUAUACUUUCUUGAAUUAAUGAAAUAAUUAUUGAACUAUUGAAAUAAUAUAGAUAAAAUUAAUUUUUAAUUAAGUUUAGUUUGUUAUUAUUCUAACCAUUUAAACGAAUUGGGCCUUUUAAAUUUUUAAUUAAGUUCAUUUUAAACGAAUUGGGCCUUUUAAAUCUAACCAUUGACUAUUCGGCCACUUAUCAAAAGUAACAUUUAUUAAUUUCCAAGUUCAAAAAAAAAAUAGAAAAGGAAAGGGGGAAAAAAAGGAGAGAUCUAGAAACGGUCGUCUCUUCUUGGCCGACGAACAAUCGAUGAGAUGAAGAUUGAAAUCGAUGGUGCUAUUCAAAGUUAUACAACAUAUAUUUGAGAAAGACAACUUCAGAAAUAAGAAAUCGAAUGAUCCUUAUGUAAAAGGCUUAGUUUUCACAGAUGAAGAGUUUCUUAGAUCUGAAAUUAUGUCACAGAAGAAGAUCAACCGUAUCAAAUGUUGGGGACUUUAACACAUCUGAAGAAUCGAACAAAGGUAACCAUUAUCAAAGCUUUUCAUAUAAUAUUUGAUAAACUCUCUGAUUUCACAGAAGCUUUUGACUAAAUUUUAGAAAGUCAUUUAGGAUAAUAUAUGGUUACCAUCGCCAUGUUUUGUUGUUGUUUUUUGCAGUUAAAUCAGACAUCUAAUCUAAGUUCAGAUGUAAUGGUGGUGCUGCUCCGUGGUGAUACAAAUAGCUGAAGAAAUAAGUUUAUAAGAAGUGUAGCAUUACACUUGCGUCUUACAAAGAAAGGUUAAUAAUGCUAAGAAGAUAAAAAAGCCUGAUAAUUCUUAUAAACCCCUUAUCUAAAAUUUCUUAAUAGUAUAAGAUUGCUUUGUAUUAGACAAUAAGUAACUCAAUAUUAAGUGAUUUGCUUUAGUUGCAGUUUCUAGGUGGUUGAAUGAGUAAGGAAUUUUGAUAGUGUGAUUCGGCUUGCAGAUAGGAAGGGAUUGAACAUGAACUAAUACUACCACCCAAAAAGAUAAGUAUCUUUUUUUACUUUACCAGAAUUUAAAUAUAUAGUAACUUACUGUUAUACUGUGUUCUUUUGACAGGACAAUAUGCGUAGUACAUGGUACAUCCAAAUGGAAAUUAAGAAGCAAAUUGAUGACAACGACUAUUAACACAACUUUCUUCAGUGCAUUUAAUCAGCAGAAUGGAGAAUAUCGGUUAAGUUUCCCCAAAUGCAGCAUGGUAUUCUUGAAUCACUAUAGGGUGGCGCCAGUCAAAAAGCGAGGCAUGGUUUGUUGUGCGAUAAGCUCCUCCUGCAGGCCUAACAUGGAAGUUUCGGAUGUAGCGCCAUGCUCCAACCGGAAGAAGGCUUCCUUUACUGUCAAUGUAAGUUUUUUUGCAGGUUGCAUGAAUUUUAUGCCCCUUUUACAUGUUCCAAAUACAUUUAGAAUAUUAACAUCAUUUAGAAUAAUAACAUUCUAAUAAAAACGUUAAGGGAAUAAUUUA